RNAcentral lists this ribosomal RNA (269 nucleotides) under uncultured prokaryote. Its description in RNAcentral is "partial 16S ribosomal RNA". It matches the Rfam family "Bacterial small subunit ribosomal RNA", at positions 524 to 792 of the family's 1533-position model. The record is from RNAcentral.
UACGGAGGAUCCGAGCGUUAUCCGGAUUUAUUGGGUUUAAAGGGUGCGCAGGCGGGAGAUUAAGUCGGCGGUGAAAUUUUGCAGCUCAACUGUAAAAGUGCCUUCGAAACUGGUUUCCUUGAGUGUAGAUGAAGUAGGCGGAAUUUGUGGUGUAGCGGUGAAAUGCAUAGAUAUCACGAGGAACUCCGAUUGCGCAGGCAGCUUACUAAACCAUAACUGACGCUCAGGCACGAAGGCGUGGGGAUCAAACAGGAUUAGAUACCCGCGUA